This 119-nucleotide ribosomal RNA is filed under the name Carassius auratus (goldfish). The record is from RNAcentral. Lineage: Eukaryota; Metazoa; Chordata; Actinopteri; Cypriniformes; Cyprinidae.
GCGUACUGCCAAACCAACCUGGCUAUGCCCGAUCUCGUCUGCUCUCGGAAGCUAGGCAGGUUUGGGCCUGGUUAGUACUUGGAUCGGAGACCGCCUGGGAAUACCAGGUGCUGUAAGCU